GACCUGGCGGAAUGCUUUACACACUGCAAGUCGAACGAUGAACCUUAGCUUGCUAGGGGGAUUAGUGGCGAACGGGUGAGUAAUAUAUCGGAACGUGCCUUGUAAUGGGGGAUAACUAGUCGAAAGAUUAGCUAAUACCGCAUACGCCCUGAGGGGGAAAGUAGGGGAUCUUCGGACCUUACGUUAUAAGAGCGGCCGAUAUCUGAUUAGCUAGUUGGUGGGGUAAUGGCCUACCAAGGCUUCGAUCAGUAGCUGGUCUGAGAGGACGACCAGCCACUCUGGAACUGAGACACGGUCCAGACUCCUACGGGAGGCAGCAGUGGGGAAUUUUGGACAAUGGGCGCAAGCCUGUAGGUCGGUAAGGCGCACUCACUUCUUCCGGAAGCCCAACAUUUCGAGAAAGUCGUUCCCUUCUUUUGAAUGUAAAAUUAUUUCACACUCAGACUGCCAUGGAACUAUUCUUCGUGGCCGAUUGAUGCACGGUCGUCGGCGCCAUUAUGCAUCCCACGCUCGCAAUUAGCCUUAAUGACCCGCAUUUCGCACGCGUCCGCCAAACCGUUCAGUCUACACUUUAGGGGCUCGAGUUGAACCCUUGACGCAAACUUUGACGGUCUGAUCUUAUACAGUCUCCCCCCAUCUUAAGGUGCACAUCGUCACUUUACGCAUCUCUACACCUCCUUAUGGUUACCGCUUCCGUCGGGGGACCCUAUUAUAACUGCGAGUACGUGCUUUCGCACCCCUCGUUUGUCCUAAUCUAUGGGACCAUCAGGUGCGGGGAUUUGCUACAGAUGAUCAACAACCACCUCAUUUUAGGUACUCAUUGGCAGCUAACGCGUGAAGCAGACCGCCUGGGGAGUACGGUCGCAAGAUUAAAACUCAAAGGAAUUGACGGGGGCCCGCACAAGCGGUGGAUUAUGUGGAUUAAUUCGAUGCAACGCGAAAAACCUUACCUGGCCUUGACAUGCCACUAACGAAGCAGAGAUGCAUUAGGUGCCCGUAAGGGAAAGUGGACACAGUGCUGCAUGCUGUCGUCGACUCGUGUCGUGGAUU
This 1050-nucleotide ribosomal RNA is filed under the name uncultured Methylophilus sp. RNAcentral describes it as "bacterial SSU rRNA". It matches the Rfam family "Bacterial small subunit ribosomal RNA", at positions 27 to 1074 of the family's 1533-position model. Lineage: Bacteria; Pseudomonadati; Pseudomonadota; Betaproteobacteria; Nitrosomonadales; Methylophilaceae. The record is from RNAcentral.